Long non-coding RNA from Dipodomys ordii (Ord's kangaroo rat), 476 nucleotides. RefSeq lists it as uncharacterized. NCBI's taxonomy places the organism in Eukaryota, Metazoa, Chordata, Mammalia, Rodentia, Heteromyidae. The transcript is spliced from 2 exons. The record is from RefSeq and is a predicted model, not a curated record.
UUUUGUGUUUGGUUUCAACAGUCUACAAGGAUAUCUGGAAUGACAGCGUGUAUCUCAGUUGUAUAAGGUUGAAGAUCUCAGGCUAUUGAGACACUGAAGUUGCAGAUGUUAGUCACAAGCACCUGGCAGGGUCCUGCAGUUGUGCAUGGCGACUCCACUCCCUCCCAGCAGGUUGAGGGAGGCUUCCCUACUUGCAUGGAAGUAAGCCAGCAGCUUCCCACACAGGUGAUGGCUGUUACAAAGGAGACUUUUCAAUACUCAGAUUUCAAGGCUUGUGGAACAGUUCAUAAGAACACCUGACUGAAAGCCUAGCCGCUAGCGGGACCUGCUCUUCCUCAUUCUGCAGAGAAAAAAAUUACCUCAAAGCCCGAAAGGAUUUCAUCUUAGAAUAGGAUAUGCAGAAGUCUCUGCCAUUAACCAAGACAAAGAAAAGCACCCACCAAAACCUUGCUCUUGUAAAGAAAUGGUUUUAACAG